RNAcentral lists this long non-coding RNA (219 nucleotides) under Phaseolus vulgaris (common bean). Its description in RNAcentral is "long non-coding RNA (PVUL_LNC001442)". Lineage: Eukaryota; Viridiplantae; Streptophyta; Magnoliopsida; Fabales; Fabaceae. The record is from RNAcentral.
GAACAAGGAUGUGUUUAGCAACCUUGACACCACCAAGAGGAGGACUUUACAGGAAUUUGAGGAUCUAGACUACCAAGAUUGUAAUGGGGGCUUAGAGGAACGAUAAGAAAAUCGAAUCCCUUAUCUGCCAAAAGGCUAGAGCAAGUUUGUUUAAGAAUGGGGACUCUUGUACUAGAUUCUUGCACUCGACUCUGAGGUGGAGAAGGCUCAAGAACGAAG